GGCACAUAGUAAGCAGUCAAGAAUAUUUGUGGUUCUACUGACUGAAGUGAUCCUAUCUUGUGACUCAUGCAUGGCACGUCUAUAAGUCAAGCUGGAAUCCUCUAAAAUAAGUCACAUGGGAAAAAAUUCUGAUCUUAUUCUAGACGAAGAAUGAAAAGCCAGGAAGCUACAUAACCCAAGGGUCCCCAGUUUGAAAUGUCUUGUUACUGCUGACAAGACCUGCAUGACUGACCAUUUGCUCCCUAAGAGAUGAAAACUGACAUUGCUUUGAAGUUCAAAAUGACAUUGCCAAAACAAGAAGAAAUGGAAAAUAACUGCAGCACGUUUAUGACAUUCGUUUCUUUCUCCACAUGAAACAUACAAUGAGAACACUUUAUAGAUGAAUUGUGUCUUCGAUUGAAUAGAGAAUGGUGGACUAGCUUUGGUUUUAUGGAAUUGGAUAAUUUGUCAUAGUUUCUGUCCCUGGAAAAAUGAGAACCCAAAGGAAAACAAGUGGAAAGCCUUUAAAAAAUAGUGAUAUAAUACACAGCUGAUAUUUUUGGUUCAUAGAAUACUUUAAAGUACAUCAUUUACAAAGCAAAUUACUAAAUUAUAAGAAAUGCUGUCAUCAUCAAUAAACAUUCACAGAGCUUCAGGUUUUAACACAAAGCAUUCCUCAUAUUUCAGGUGAUAUUAUUUAUGAAAAAAUUACUUGGAGAUUGCUCCAAGGUUAUCACAUUCUUUUCAAACCAUCAAUUCCCUAUUAUUAUUUACUAUUAUUAGUUAUUAUUUAUAAAUACAUAUGAAUACACAAUGAAAGCAUGCUUUAUGUAUAGCAUAUAAAUAUAUUUGAACUUUACUUUCCCCACAUACUAUCUAUCCUGCAAUAUUACACCACCAGUAAAAGAGUAUCUAAAUAUUAAUUGCUCCUAUCACAAUAGUGGAAACUAGAAGAGAUAAGUUUUCCCAAAUCUGAGUAGAAAACCAUGGUUAGCGGAUAUCCAUUUGUCCAUUUACGGAAUUAUAGCAAUAAAAUCCAGCCAAUAAUUUUUAGUUUGCUUAUUAUGUAGUGGCAAAACAUAAUGUCUUUUUCUCACCCAUUACAAGGGUCACAGCUGACAUACCUAUAACAAAAACCAGAUGAACAAGAAAAAUGCAUAAUGUGUUCAUUUAAUAAAGUUUUAAGUGACGUGGGAGCCUUCAGAAAUGCAGACCCAAACCCAGGGAAAAUUUUGAAUUUGUAUGCUUCUGAAGAAAGAAGUGAAUAGUUGUGGAGAAACGUGAUUCGACAAAAAGAGUAUGACCUAAUGAUAAUAAACUGUAGAGAAUUUAGCAAA
Homo sapiens (human) is the source of this 1316-nucleotide long non-coding RNA. Ensembl annotates it as GRM7 antisense RNA 3. Its record names the gene GRM7-AS3. Lineage: Eukaryota; Metazoa; Chordata; Mammalia; Primates; Hominidae. The record is from Ensembl.